This is a long non-coding RNA of Mesocricetus auratus (golden hamster), 350 nucleotides long. RefSeq lists it as uncharacterized. Lineage: Eukaryota; Metazoa; Chordata; Mammalia; Rodentia; Cricetidae. The transcript is spliced from 4 exons. The record is from RefSeq and is a predicted model, not a curated record.
CUGAUCUCUUUCAAUAACAACAAGCAUCCCCAGGGCUUUUGACUCUGGGUCACCAAGCAGCCAACCUGGACUGCCAGGACAGACCUAUGGAGGGAUAACAACUAACGAGGAAGACUUCAGCCAGAAAUUGCCAGACACUUAAUCAAAUACAGUAUCGUUCUUCGAUUUUACUGUUUACGUCCAUUCCGCUUAUAAUUGAUGAAUGGGAGGAGAUUACUAUUUUCAUGCCGAGUGAUAUUCCGAAUCUAAACCAGCAGUCAACUGCCGCCAAACGACGCGGGCUUUGUGCCUCUGCGGCACCCCGCGGGUGUCCUUCCGCGACAGCCUGCCUUUCCGAGAAUCCGUGUUCU